Molecule: long non-coding RNA, 297 nt
Organism: Oncorhynchus masou masou (cherry salmon)
Lineage: Eukaryota; Metazoa; Chordata; Actinopteri; Salmoniformes; Salmonidae
Exons: 3
Source: RefSeq, a predicted model, not a curated record
UGUAGAUUAAACAUGAACGGGCCAAAACGGACAUGGCAGCAGGUCAAAAUCAAAUACAAGAACAUUCUGCAGAAUGCAGUGAAAAAGAAUACCCACAGACAAGGCACGGGUGGUGGGUCACCAAAGGCUGACCUUACCCCAGCAGAGGACAUGGCCUUGGAGCUAAAUAAAGGCAGGCCCGUCUUAGAGGGGAUCCCUAGGGGGAAAGAGACGAGCAUAGGUUCCUCCCAAGAUGCCACCCGCUUCAUUCAAGUGUCUGGCAGCACUGUGUUCCUGUUAGAGCCACCAGCACAAGCA